Molecule: microRNA precursor, 90 nt
Filed under: Monodelphis domestica (gray short-tailed opossum)
Lineage: Eukaryota; Metazoa; Chordata; Mammalia; Didelphimorphia; Didelphidae
Description: mir-204 microRNA precursor family
Rfam family: mir-204 microRNA precursor family
Source: Rfam by way of RNAcentral
AUGUGACUCGUGGACUUCCCUUUGUCAUCCUAUGCCUGAGAAUAUAUGAAGGGGGCUGGGAAGGCAAAGGGACGUUCAAUCGUCAUCACU